RNAcentral lists this long non-coding RNA (565 nucleotides) under Ananas comosus (pineapple). Its description in RNAcentral is "long non-coding RNA (ACOM_LNC009505)". The record is from RNAcentral. Lineage: Eukaryota; Viridiplantae; Streptophyta; Magnoliopsida; Poales; Bromeliaceae.
AAACCAUUUAAACUACCUAGAAAUCAAAUUUCACGCACUUUCGAUAUUAUUCUUUUAUCCAUCAAGUGAACAGAAAAAUGAAUGGCUGAAAAUGAAUACUCUUUAAAAAAUAAUGAUAGAAGUCUUGUAAUCAAUAUCAAGAGUAUAGAUUUCGUUUUAAAUAGUUUAAAGAAUUUUCUAAUAAAAAUUCAAUUGAUUUGGAUAUCUUUAUGCCGUUAAACGAGAAAACGCCUCUUAUCGAUCAUUAAAAUUACAAAAUUUGAAACCCUUUGAUCAUUAGGCAAAUGAUGUCGAAAAGAUUUGAAAUUUGAUUUAUAAACGCUUCAAGUGGUAUAGAUCAUGUUCAACGGAGUCAAUCGUCAAUUUGAAAGCUGUAUCAUUGAAAACAAAUCGAUAGUAAAAUAGCUCGUUUACUACCGAUAGUACUCUAGCUCAACUCUANUAUAUAUAUAUAUAUAUAUAUAUAUAUAAAUCGUCGACGUCGAGACAAGAAAUUUAGGGACCUUAUCGGUAGAAUUUGAAAGUGUUGGGAAUUGUUUUAAAAAUUAGGUAUAAUUGAGGGGGU